Molecule: ribosomal RNA, 2907 nt
Filed under: Escherichia coli B94
Lineage: Bacteria; Pseudomonadati; Pseudomonadota; Gammaproteobacteria; Enterobacterales; Enterobacteriaceae
Description: bacterial LSU rRNA
Rfam family: Bacterial large subunit ribosomal RNA
Source: RNAcentral
UUAAGCGACUAAGCGUACACGGUGGAUGCCCUGGCAGUCAGAGGCGAUGAAGGACGUGCUAAUCUGCGAUAAGCGUCGGUAAGGUGAUAUGAACCGUUAUAACCGGCGAUUUCCGAAUGGGGAAACCCAGUGUGAUUCGUCACACUAUCAUUAACUGAAUCCAUAGGUUAAUGAGGCGAACCGGGGGAACUGAAACAUCUAAGUACCCCGAGGAAAAGAAAUCAACCGAGAUUCCCCCAGUAGCGGCGAGCGAACGGGGAGGAGCCCAGAGCCUGAAUCAGUGUGUGUGUUAGUUGGAAAGCGUCUGGUAAAGGCGCGCGAUACAGGGUGACAGCCCCGUACACAAAAAUGCACAUGCUGUGAGCUCGAUGAGUAGGGCGGGACACGUGGUAUCCUGUCUGAAUAUGGGGGGACCAUCCUCCAAGGCUAAAUACUCCUGACUGACCGAUAGUGAACCAGUACCGUGAGGGAAAGGCGAAAAGAACCCCGGCGAGGGGAGUGAAAAAGAACCUGAAACCGUGUACGUACAAGCAGUGGGAGCACAGAGCAAUCUUGUGUGACUGCGUACCUUUUGUAUAAUGGGUCAGCGACUUAUAUUCUGUAGCAAGGUUAACCGAAUAGGGGAGCCGAAGGGAAACCGAGUCUUAACCGGGCGUUAAGUUGCAGGGUAUAGACCCGAAACCCGGUGAUCUAGCCAUGGGCAGGUUGAAGGUUGGGUAACACUAACUGGAGGACCGAACCGACUAAUGUUGAAAAAUUAGCGGAUGACUUGUGGCUGGGGGUGAAAGGCCAAUCAAACCGGGAGAUAGCUGGUUCUCCCCGAAAGCUAUUUAGGUAGCGCCUCGUGAAUUCAUCUCCGGGGGUAGAGCACUGUUUCGGCAAGGGGGUCAUCCCGACUUACCAACCCGAUGCAAACUGCGAAUACCGGAGAAUGUUAUCACGGGAGACACACGGCGGGUGCUAACGUCCGUCGUGAAGAGGGAAACAACCCAGACCGCCAGCUAAGGUCCCAAAGUCAUGGUUAAGUGGGAAACGAUGUGGGAAGGCCCAGACAGCCAGGAUGUUGGCUUAGAAGCAGCCAUCAUUUAAAGAAAGCGUAAUAGCUCACUGGUCGAGUCGGCCUGCGCGGAAGAUGUAACGGGGCCAAACCAUGCACCGAAGCUGCGGCAGCGACACUGUGUGUUGUUGGGUAGGGGAGCGUUCUGUAAGCCUGUGAAGGUGUGCUGUGAGGCAUGCUGGAGGUAUCAGAAGUGCGAAUGCUGACAUAAGUAACGAUAAAGCGGGUGAAAAGCCCGCUCGCCGGAAGACCAAGGGUUCCUGUCCAACGUUAAUCGGGGCAGGGUGAGUCGACCCCUAAGGCGAGGCCGAAAGGCGUAGUCGAUGGGAAACAGGUUAAUAUUCCUGUACUUGGUGUUACUGCGAAGGGGGGACGGAGAAGGCUAUGUUGGCCGGGCGACGGUUGUCCCGGUUUAAGCGUGUAGGCUGGUUUUCCAGGCAAAUCCGGAAAAUCAAGGCUGAGGCGUGAUGACGAGGCACUACGGUGCUGAAGCAACAAAUGCCCUGCUUCCAGGAAAAGCCUCUAAGCAUCAGGUAACAUCAAAUCGUACCCCAAACCGACACAGGUGGUCAGGUAGAGAAUACCAAGGCGCUUGAGAGAACUCGGGUGAAGGAACUAGGCAAAAUGGUGCCGUAACUUCGGGAGAAGGCACGCUGAUAUGUAGGUGAAGUCCCUCGCGGAUGGAGCUGAAAUCAGUCGAAGAUACCAGCUGGCUGCAACUGUUUAUUAAAAACACAGCACUGUGCAAACACGAAAGUGGACGUAUACGGUGUGACGCCUGCCCGGUGCCGGAAGGUUAAUUGAUGGGGUCAGCGCAAGCGAAGCUCUUGAUCGAAGCCCCGGUAAACGGCGGCCGUAACUAUAACGGUCCUAAGGUAGCGAAAUUCCUUGUCGGGUAAGUUCCGACCUGCACGAAUGGCGUAAUGAUGGCCAGGCUGUCUCCACCCGAGACUCAGUGAAAUUGAACUCGCUGUGAAGAUGCAGUGUACCCGCGGCAAGACGGAAAGACCCCGUGAACCUUUACUAUAGCUUGACACUGAACAUUGAGCCUUGAUGUGUAGGAUAGGUGGGAGGCUUUGAAGUGUGGACGCCAGUCUGCAUGGAGCCGACCUUGAAAUACCACCCUUUAAUGUUUGAUGUUCUAACGUGGACCCGUGAUCCGGGUUGCGGACAGUGUCUGGUGGGUAGUUUGACUGGGGCGGUCUCCUCCUAAAGAGUAACGGAGGAGCACGAAGGUUGGCUAAUCCUGGUCGGACAUCAGGAGGUUAGUGCAAUGGCAUAAGCCAGCUUGACUGCGAGCGUGACGGCGCGAGCAGGUGCGAAAGCAGGUCAUAGUGAUCCGGUGGUUCUGAAUGGAAGGGCCAUCGCUCAACGGAUAAAAGGUACUCCGGGGAUAACAGGCUGAUACCGCCCAAGAGUUCAUAUCGACGGCGGUGUUUGGCACCUCGAUGUCGGCUCAUCACAUCCUGGGGCUGAAGUAGGUCCCAAGGGUAUGGCUGUUCGCCAUUUAAAGUGGUACGCGAGCUGGGUUUAGAACGUCGUGAGACAGUUCGGUCCCUAUCUGCCGUGGGCGCUGGAGAACUGAGGGGGGCUGCUCCUAGUACGAGAGGACCGGAGUGGACGCAUCACUGGUGUUCGGGUUGUCAUGCCAAUGGCACUGCCCGGUAGCUAAAUGCGGAAGAGAUAAGUGCUGAAAGCAUCUAAGCACGAAACUUGCCCCGAGAUGAGUUCUCCCUGACCCUUUAAGGGUCCUGAAGGAACGUUGAAGACGACGACGUUGAUAGGCCGGGUGUGUAAGCGCAGCGAUGCGUUGAGCUAACCGGUACUAAUGAACCGUGAGGCUUAACCUU